GGGCCGGAUGCUGGGGUCGCGACUCAUAAUCGCUCGGUUGCAGGUUCGAUCCCUGCCGGGCCCA
Molecule: transfer RNA, 64 nt
Filed under: Acidimicrobiales bacterium
Lineage: Bacteria; Bacillati; Actinomycetota; Acidimicrobiia; Acidimicrobiales
Description: tRNA-Ser
Source: RNAcentral